GACGAACGCUGGCGGCGUGCCUAAUACAUGCAAGUAGAACGCUGAAGAGAGGAGCUUGCUCUUCUUGGAUGAGUUGCGCACGGGUGAGUAACGCGUAGGUAACCUGCCUUGUAGCGGGGGAUAACUAUUGGAAACGAUAGCUAAUACCGCAUAACAAUGGAUGACACAUGUCAUUUAUUUGAAAGGGGCAAUUGCUCCACUACAAGAUGGACCUGCGUUGUAUUAGCUAGUAGGUGAGGUAAUGGCUCACCUAGGCGACGAUACAUAGCCGACCUGAGAGGGGGAUCGGCCACACUGGGACUGAGACACGGCCCAGACUCCUACGGGAGGCAGCAGGAGGGAAACUUCGGCAAGGGGGGCAACCCUGACCGAGCAACGCCGCGUGAGGGAAGAAGGGUUUCGGAUCGUAAAGCUCUGUUGUAAGUCAAGAACGGGUGUGAGAGUGGAAAGUUCACACUGUGACGGUAGCUUACCAGAAAGGGACGGCUAACUACGUG
This 497-nucleotide ribosomal RNA is filed under the name uncultured bacterium. RNAcentral's name for it is "partial 16S ribosomal RNA". It matches the Rfam family "Bacterial small subunit ribosomal RNA", at positions 28 to 507 of the family's 1533-position model. The record is from RNAcentral.